This 12988-nucleotide long non-coding RNA is filed under the name Nicotiana tabacum (common tobacco). Its description in RNAcentral is "long non-coding RNA (NTAB_LNC008349)". The record is from RNAcentral. Lineage: Eukaryota; Viridiplantae; Streptophyta; Magnoliopsida; Solanales; Solanaceae.
GUUCUUCCUUUCUUUUAUUAGGGUUGAGACUUCUUCUUUUGGUCAUAUCAAACCCUGUGAUUCACGGUGAAAACCUGUUCAGGCAUCAAAGCAACAAAUGGACGAAAUUUUAUGCCCCAGUUUUUACUAGGAAAAUUUCGUGAGUUAUUUAUAACAAAAAUCUAAAAUAUUUCUUUAUUGAAAGUAAUAAAAUCAGGAUUGUGUAUCCUUGGGAAAAAGAGAUUAGGGAGUGGAGCCCUCUAUUUAUAAUAAAAUCAACUAGGGAGUGGAGACCCUAUGUUGGAAAAGAGACUAGGGAGUGGAGACCCUAUAUCUAAACUAAAAUCAACUAGGGAGUGGAGACCCUAUGUUGGAAAAGUGACUAGGGAGUGGAGACUCUAAGUCUAAAAUAACUUCAACUAGGGAAUGGAGACCUUAUGUUGGAAAAGAAAACUAGGGAGUGGAGACCCUAUGACUAAAAUAAAAUCAACUAGGGAGUGGAGACCCUAUGCCUAAAAUAAAAUCAACUAGGGAGUAGAGACCCUAUAUUAGAAAAGCAGACUAGGGAGUGGAGACCCUAUGCCUAAAAUAACUUCAACUAGGUAGUGGAGACCCUAUGUUGGAAAAACGACUAGGGAGUGGAGAUCCUAUGUCUAAAAUAACUUCAACUAGGGAGUGGAGACCCUAUGUUGGAAAAACGACUAGGNNNNNNNNNNNNNNNNNNNNNNNNNNNNNNNNNNNNNNNNNNNNNNNNNNNNNNNNNNNNNNNNNNNNNNNNNNNNNNNNNNNNNNNNNNNNNNNNNNNNNNNNNNNNNNNNNNNNNNNNNNNNNNNNNNNNNNNNNNNNNNNNNNNNNNNNNNNNNNNNNNNNNNNNNNNNNNNNNNNNNNNNNNNNNNNNNNNNNNNNNNNNNNNNNNNNNNNNNNNNNNNNNNNNNNNNNNNNNNNNNNNNNNNNNNNNNNNNNNNNNNNNNNNNNNNNNNNNNNNNNNNNNNNNNNNNNNNNNNNNNNNNNNNNNNNNNNNNNNNNNNNNNNNNNNNNNNNNNNNNNNNNNNNNNNNNNNNNNNNNNNNNNNNNNNNNNNNNNNNNNNNNNNNNNNNNNNNNNNNNNNNNNNNNNNNNNNNNNNNNNNNNNNNNNNNNNNNNNNNNNNNNNNNNNNNNNNNNNNNNNNNNNNNNNNNNNNNNNNNNNNNNNNNNNNNNNNNNNNNNNNNNNNNNNNNNNNNNNNNNNNNNNNNNNNNNNNNNNNNNNNNNNNNNNNNNNNNNNNNNAGUGGGGACCCUAUGUCUAAAAUAACUUCAACUAGGGAGUGGAGACUCUAUGUCUAAAAUAAAAUCAACUAGGGAGUGGAGACCCUAUGUUGGAAAAACGUAACUAGAGAUUGGGACCCUAGGCUACCAUGUUUUUGAAUUUUCUUCUUCUCUCUUUUUUUCUUUUUUCUUUUUAAAUUUUAUUUAAGAAAAAAUGAGUAAGAAUUUAGGAAAGAAUUUGGAAGAGACUUCCUUUUUGGAUUGAUUAUUGUUGCAAAACUGUUUCUAGCCCUUGCGCAGUUUCUUUUGGUUGCACCUGCUUCUUGCAAGGUUGCUUUGGAUUGCACCUGUUUCAUAUUUUUCAAACAAAGAACAAUUGUUAGUUUGAAACUGUGGUUGGUUUUGUGGCCUUGAUUGUUUGAUCUCGACCCAACUCUUUCGAUGAAAACCUUUAUUGCUCGCUGGCUUUCUAGAGAUUGAUCUCUCUUCUAAACCCAGAGAUCUUAACUUUCCAAAAUUUCACAUACUGGUUCACCCGUGUGGGGAUUUGGCCUUUUCAUCUUAUUUUGCCUUUAUGGGCACUUGACUUUGGAUUUCUUUCCUUUUCAAUAAUUUUGACUCUGAAGCAUCGGCCAUCAUGGCCAGUCGAGAUCGACUUGAUGCACCUGCUGAGGCUGGGUGCUUUUUUGCACAUUAACUCGUGUCAAACGAAAGCCCUGUUAAUCAAUCUUGCCAUCCCUUCUUUGUCUUAGUUACAGAAUUGAGUUAGACUGAAAAGAAUUCAAAGAAAAAUAAACAAUGGACAGGAUAAUGAAUUUAAAUGAGAGGUAUCACUUUCGGGGAGAAGAAAGAAGGACUUAUUCGGAGUGCAUGCGGACUUCAAUGAACAUGACAUGCAUUUUGGACUGGAUGCCGAAUCUGUGUAAAUCGUCCAACUCUCAGAAAUUCAUCACAACUUUGCCUUAAAACUGAGAACUUUGCUAGGACUCUGUUGAUGUCGAUGGCUGUGAGGAUCCUCUUUUUGAUCAGGGACGCCCUUUGCGGGUUUUCACGAGCUGACCUCUCUCAUUUUUCUUCUCACCAUCGCCUUAUAGUUCUCUUUGCGAGUUCUCACUAACAAAACUCUCUCAUUUCAAUUUCUGUGCUUACUAUCACCUCACGGUGUCUGUGUGGGUUUUCACCAAUAAGACUCUCUCAUUUCAUUUCUCUGCUUACCAUCGCCUUAUGGUGCCUAUGUGGGUUUUCACCAAUAAGACUCUCUUAUUUUAUUUCUCUCAUUUUGUUGUAUCAGAUCCAAGUAACUCUAUCCUUCCAUUUUGAACCUCUUUGUCGAUUGAUCAGAAGGACUUGAACAGGGUUUUGGGGUAAAAAGGAUUUGGGAUUGAGUUACAACUUUGGAACCUUUAGGGCGAAGUCAUCGCCGAACCAUUAUAACAUUUGCCCCAGUUUCACUUUUGGGGGAAUUUAGAUUUUUAUUUUGGCGUGACUGAACCCCAGAGAGGCUACCUACAUAUCCUUUCGGAAUCAAGUCGAACGUAGUUCAUGGAACUUUUUUUUUUUUUUUUGUUUUCUCUUUCUUUUUCCUUUCCUUUUCCUUUUUUUCAUUUUCUUUGUCUUUUCUUCUCCCCCUUUCUUUGUAUCUUUCUUUUUCUUCUCUUUUCAUUUUUUUCUCCUUUCAUUUUUUUAAUGUUCCAAUUUCAAUUCAAUUUUUUCUUCAAUAGUACUUUCAGGUUCCAAAGAGGGUAAUCAAAGAAGAGUAACUGGCUCAAAUGGUUUACAAAAGGGUUAAUGGUGUUUGUUUAGUGAGAAUGAAAGCCUUCGUCAUCCCAACCAGAGAAUAUUAAUAUUAUAUAGAGGAUCAACAUAGCACCUUUUGGCUGCAUAAGCAUUGACAAUUAUUUGAGGGAUAUUUCCUUCGAUGUGUCCCAAGUACAACGCACUCUUUUGGCAGUACUCUUUUUGCAAUGUAUAGACUAUCUAUAACCAAUUUUCUUCAGCUGCAAUCUAAUUCUUGAUUCAUUAUUUCAAAGUCUGACAACGUUUUAGGAUCUAGGCAUGAAGCCCACAAGCAUGUCAUGUUAUUUAAAGCUGUAUUAUUAGAACUGAAAGAAGAAAUAAGAAAAGUAAUAAAAAUCAGAAAGAAUAAAGAGAGAUUUAUGAACGAUGAAAUAUUGAUUUCAUUUCAUUGAAUUUUGAAUAUAAUAGGGUUUAAAUUGGAAUUUAAAGACAGUAAACUAAAAGAAACAUCUGAGUUACACCCUGGAAUAACUCGUGAUGUAGAAAAGGUGGCAAGACUGGACUACCGGGAUUCCCGCCUGACGGGGAAUGAAGUAGCCUUCCAAUUUUGCAGCUUGGCAUCGGGCCCCAUGAAUUGCACCUCAGCAGUGCUCGAGCCUUCUCCCGGCUGGACCAUGUGUGUUUCAUACAACUCUGCCUCAUAGCUCCACAUAUUUCCUCAAUUUCCUCGGCCGUGAAGGCUUCAUCAUCAUCUUCUUCUUCUGCGUACUUGGGCUUGACGAAUGUUUUGUAUAAAUGUGGGACUGGCUGAGGUAGAACCCAACCAUUGCUCUUUUGUUCAUUUGCCCAUGUCACAUCAGUUUUUGUGGCGUGAAAACCCGCACCGAAGAACUUCUCGCCGGCAGGUAAAGUGAUAGGUUCUGUGAUACCUUGCAAUGAUGCCUUGAGUCCCUUCCCAGGCUUAUAACCAUGCUUGAUCAUUUUAGUAGCGACCAUGAUGGACACAUUUGACAGAGAGGGCUGAGGACACGGGCUUCCCUCCUUACAUUGAUCUACGACCGGAACCUCGAAAGCUUGAUAGACUAUAUGUUCGCUACCUUCCAUAGCUUCGAGACAAGGGACUUACAAGUCUCGGUAAAUAUACUACUCGUCCUCUCCGUGGAUUACAAUCUCCUGAUCUUCAUAUUCAAAUUUCACCAUCUGGUGGAGAGUGGAAGGUACGACCCCUGCCAUAUGAAUCCAAGGCCUUCCCAAGAGGAAAUUAUAAGAAUUGUCCAUAUUUAGGACCUGAAAGGUCACCUCAAAAUCCACAUGACCAAUAGUCAAAAUCAAAUCGAUCUCACCUAUGGUGUCUCUCUUGAUGACAUCAAAGGCACGCACACAGACAUUGUUGGGCCUGAUUCUCUCAGUCCCAUUCUCCAUUCUUUGCAAAGUUGAGAGAGGGCAUAUUUCAACCCCCGAUCCACCAUGCACCAUGACUUUUUUCACAUAAUAUCCCUCACAUUUAACUAUCAAGUGGAGGGCUUUGUUGUGGGCGACCCCUUCCGGGGGCAAAUCAUUCUUGCUAAAGGAAAUCUGAUUGACUGCGAAAUUUUUUUCUGCCAUCCUUUCCAGUUGUUCGAUAGUGGUUUCAAUCGGAACAUAAGCCUCAUUGAGGGUCUUUAUCAACACUUUCUGAUGCUCAGUUGAGCUUAUCAGCAGAGACAAAAGUGAGACAUGAGCAGGAGACUUUCGAGUUGGUCAAUUAUCUCGUAGUCCACAGUUUUCAUUUUUCGGAAGAACUCCUCUGCUUCUUCGGCACUAACUGGCUUUUUGAGCGGGAAGUGCUUGUGCAUGGCAUUGUUCACUUCCUCCAGAAUGAGGUAUUUCCUAGAUGAGUUGGUUUUAUUUACUUCCCCUAUGAUUUCCUUCCCCUUGUAUGUCACAAUUGCUCUGUUGUAGUUCCAGGGGACUGCAGUGGGGUCUUUCAUAGGCUUUUGUGGUGCAUGGCUAAUGAUCACGGGCUCGCUCAAACUGGGUGGAAUUACUGGUCCUCAUGCCACAUAGGUCCCUUUGGGCAUAUACAUCUUCGGUCCCUUGUUCAACUCGAACCUAUUAGGAGGACUUAACGCCAAUUGUUUUUUCCUGUGAGCUCAGGGAACAUAAAGAAUGGCGUCUUUAGGGGGUACUGCCCUUAUUUUGUUUUCCACAGUCUUUUCUUCACUUCGAGGAGUGGAGUUACUCUUCUUAUCCCCCUUAUCUUUUGUUGUGGCGGCCUUUGGCUUCUUUUCCACAUCGACUAUGGCAAUGAUGGCUUUUAGAGCUGGGUCAAACUCUUUAUCUUCACAAAUGAUCCCGAUAACUGGCCCGUUGUUGUGGGCCGACAAUGGGUUAUUUGUCACGUUGGGGAUUUCUUCAUCUUUCAGCACUACCUUUUUUGCUCUAUUAAGUUUUCGAUUGCCCUUUUGAGAGUCCAACAGUCUUUAGUGUCAUGCCCUUCUGCUCCCGAAUGGUAAGCACAUAGAGUACCGGCUCGAUAGGAGGGCGACUCUAGGUUUUGCCUGGUUUGGGGUACGGGUUUCAACAAACCCAUUUGGACCAGUUUAGGGAAAAGGCUAGAGUAUGAUUCACCAAUAGGCGUGAAUUUUGUUCUCCUGGGUGGCUCCCGGGAACGGGCAUUGUAGGAGAAGUUAUUUUGUGGAGGUAGAGGAUUAUUAUAAGCUUGGUGAGGAGGGCUAUUUCUAGGAAAUUGAGCUCGGUUUUGGUUAAACUGUUGUUGUGUCCGAACGUAUGGCUGAGCGUUAAUUACUACAUACGGCUGAGAAGCCAUAGCAUAGGCCACAUCCUGAUGAGGAUAAUAAUGUUGUAGGGUGCUUGGAGGGAAGUAACCUCUGGGUGGACGAGCGUUUAUCAGACUUGAGACUGUCAUUGCCACCUUUUCUUUCUUUUUUCUGUUCACUACACCUCCGAACCCGCUUUGAAUUGCUUGGGAUGUAGCUCUUAUAGCAUAUUGGCUCAAUAUGCGCCCUGUUUCACACCAUUCUCGACCAUCUCACCAAUCUUGAUGGCCUCAGCAAAUGGUUUUCCCAUUGCGGUCAUCAUAUUCUAAAAGUAGUCAGCCUCUCGGGCUUGUAAAAAAACACUAGCCAUUUCUGUUUCAUCCAUCGGGGGCUUGACCCUGGCCGCUUGUUCGCGCCAUUUAACAUAUUCUCGAAAACUUUUUGAUGACUUCUUCUUGAGAUUCGACAGAGAAUUCCUGUCAGGAGCUAUGUCUAUGUUAUACUAAAACGGCUUGACAAAAUCUCAAGCCAGAUCAUCCCAAAUGUGCCAACGAUACAUGUCCUGAUCCAUGUACCACUCAGAUGUAAUGCCAACUAGGCUCUCUCUGAAAUAAGCCAUUAGGAGCUCUUCUUUUCCGCCUACCCCUCUUAAUUGAUUGCAAUAUCUCUUGAGGUAGGUUACUAGAUCCCCGUGCCCGUCAUACUUUUCAAACUUUAGGGUCUUGAAACCCAGGGGCAAAUGCACAUGUGGGAACAUACAUAGAUCAGCGUAGGAUACACUCUUUUGUCCGCUUAAGCCUUGUAUAUUCUUAAGGCUCUAUUCCAUACUCCUCAUUUUCCGGGUAAUUUCCUCUUGCUCGGGGUUCUUUGUAGUCUUCUCCUGUCCCGCGAUAAACUCGUACCGGGGUUGUUGAGGGUACAAAAUUGGUGGUGAAAUGAGUAGGUUCUGGUGGAAAAGAUGGUACUUGGAAAGUGAAGGAUGAUGGAUCAAAGCUUGGCCUGGGCAAAGUGGGUUGUACCACAGCCGAGGUUGGUGGUGUGAUAAAUAUAUUGGAGGCCACUCCCGAAACCACCUGGUGCGAACCUCAGAAGGUGUUCCGGUGAAGUGAGCUGAGAUGGUGGGGUAUCCAAGUGGGGUAUUCGGGUAUUUUCCACUUGCUCUGGGAAGUAACUCGGUGAAACUGGGUAUGGCACUUGGCGGCUCUCUACCAUUGGACUAGGCAUACCACAUUUCAAGCACGCGGAGACAUAGUGCCCUAUUCUCAUCAGCUGCCGCUGACUCUGAGGUUGGGAUAACCGAUAGUGGGCUAUCUUCUGGGAUGGGAAUUGUUGGUGGAUGACCUUCUGACGACAUUUCUACACUGCCCUUAGAUCUUGUAAAGUAUGGGUAUGAAGCCAGGUUACCACAAACCAACCACCUUAAAAACAGAACCGGAUACUCAAUAGUAGACAACAAACCGGUUAGUUUGAAGCAAUUAACACAUAGAGAAUUUCACAUUGGGGGUGUGAUGCACCUAUACAGUUAAAUGUGUUUCUACAUGUUUUGCAACGAUUGCAUGCCUCAUCCCGACUUUUGUUUAUCUCCCCGAUCUUCUCUCUUGCUUUCUUUUGCAUUCUUAUUUCCCUUUUCGUUCUCAUUCUCUUUUCCUCGUUUUCUCUCUUUUCUGUUUGUUUUUUCUUUUCGUUUUCUCUUUUCCACAUUUUCUCUUUUAUUUUAAAAAUCAUGACCGGAUUCGAUGAGGAUUACCUAUGUAUCACGACACUGCGUGAAUCAAAUCAUCACAUAGUUCAAGGAAUAAAUGCAAAAUAAAUAAAAUAUUUUUGGCUUUUUUUUCAAAUUUCAUUAAAACAAGACUUCUAAUUUUCCUCUAUUACAAAGACUCGAUCCUACAUACUUGAGAAUUGGAAACUAAAACAGACUCGAAAUAGACUUUAGGAUUGAAAAUACAGACUCGAAAAAAGAGAAAACAAUCAGGAAUACAUCAAUGCCUCUAAUCCUGCUCUAGGAACACCAACUGGUCUUGUUGCGGGCCUGUGCCCCAUGUCAUCCUGGAUGUGAUAGAGAUCAUCCAUUAUCUGGAGAACAAAGAUCAUGACCGUGGCGAAGAACAUGAACUUGGUCAUGUCCUCGUACUCGUUGCACUUCAUCACAAUGUAGUCGGCGCUUCUUCUAACCCUUUCCCUGAUGAUGCCCUUUCCCAAUCUACUGAGAUCUAGCCUCCAAAACUCGGGUGAUCAUAUGAUUCUGUUCUUGCAAAUGUUGUAAGUCCCUCUCUAGCUGUGCCAUUAAAGCAUAGCAAUGUUCCCUCUCAGCCUUGAAGCUCUUGGCUUGUUUAGUCAUUUCGCCCUCAAGGCUAUUAAGCUUCUUUUUCCAACCCAUGACCCCUCUAUCAUAUCUUUCCUUUAAUUGUCGAACGAAAGUUGCUUGAUCUUCUGCAUUUUUGGCCAACUUUGUUCGUACUUUUACUAGCUCAGACUCACUCUUUUGCAAAUCAUCCUCAAAGUCACGUACUUUCUGCGUAAAGUUGUAAAUAAGCCUUUCAUCUUUUCUGCUUCUACAUGGUUCCUCAGCUGCUAUUCUCAUUUUUCGAACAUGGGCCCGGAGAGCUUCAUUUUCUUGGACCAACCUUCUUCUUUCACCUUCAUCUUCUUGUGCCUAUAGAUCGUUAUUGAAUACGACGUUUCUCAAUUCUUCUUGCAAAGCGUGAAUGGUGGCUUGAUAUUUUUUCUCCUUCUCUCCCCAAGCCAACCUUUCCUGAAUUUUAUCAUCAAAAGCUUGAACAUGAGGUCUCUUGGCGGGCCUUUCCGGCUCGAGCUCGGGCUCUGGCUCAUCAUUUGCACAAAACCUUUUUUCAAACUACAUAGCAUAAUUCGGAUCCACUUCCCCUCUUGCAAGAUCCGACACCUGGGUGUCACUUUUCAGAUAUCGGCAACCAUUCCAAUCCCGUUGGACUAAAGCCUCAGGCAGUGUUUCCUCUGGGUGAAGCUCAAUGACUUGGGUCCUCAAAUCUACAUCCUCGGGUACCACCUGAUACCUUCCCAGUUGCCUUAGAACUCUCUGCGGUGCAUAUGGUUGGAUACUCCUCAGGCCCAUCAUCAUCAAGUAGCCUUUUGAAGCUGUCAUGUAUAUGACUUCUGUUACCGGAAGCCACCCUAGAGUCCAUUCAAUUUGACUUGCCUUUAAAGUCCGUAAGUGGGAAACCCAAGCAUCAAAACCUUCUGGAGUUUUGUUUAGCCUCUCCUCAUGACUCUUUAUGAAGUUGUUCCCGUCCGCUUCGUGACUCAUGAACUUGGGGUGAUGGCGGAGAUGCUCGAUCAACCAUAUUUAAAGAAGAAUGUUGCAACCCUCGAAGAAUUGAGCCCCGGUUUUACACAAUGUCAAUGUUCGAUAAAUGUCUGCUAGCACUAACAGAACAAGUGUGUGAUCUUCCUUGGUAGUAAGGAGUUGUGCAAUUCUGGCCACGCGAGUGUCUUUUGUCCCUUAUGUAUUUGGAAAGAUCAUGAUCCCCAAAAAUGCCACGAUAAAAUCGAACCGACGAUGAAUUUGCCAGGUGCUCUUAUGUUGUUUGUUGUUUAACCCUUUUUCAUGAGUUUCAAAACCAGCUAAAUGCCCGAACCUGAAGUAUAAGAAGUAGAAAGAACAACAUCCUUUGCUUACAUGGGCCUUCUUCAUUUGUUUACUAAUAUUCACAAGAUCAAAGAAUUUGUGCACAGAGGGAGCCCUUGGGAAUAUGAGUUGUUGCUUCCUCAAGUCUUGGCCAAAGUUAAUGCAUCCGACCAUUUCCUCCAGAGUAGGGGUGAGCUCGAAAUCGGAGAAACGGAACACGUUGUGGGUAGGAUCCCAAAAGGUUACCAAGGCUUUGAUCAAAUCUUCCCGGGGUUUGAUGCUCAUGAUGUCUAUAAGGGAACCCAACUACUUUUGCACCCAAUCCUGGCUAUAUUUAUCUAAAUCAUUCCACCACAUGCGAAGCUGCAACUGAGCCCAUUCUAUGACAGAUUGUGACUGGUUCUAUAAUGGGUCCUAGACAGUAUUCAUUUGUGAGGGGUCCUGGACAUUAUUCAUUUGUGACGGGUUCUGGACAGUAUCCAUUUGUAACUGCGGAGGGUUGAAGUUAGGUUUGACUCUGGUGGACUCUUUUUGCAAAACAAGUUUUUCAAUUUCUAAGAAAAUCAACGGAAAAAGACCCCUUUUAUUUCUAUUUUAGCAAAAAUGGUCGUUUUUGCAAAUGUGGCCCCUUCGCAAUUCCAAACAAAAUUUGAGGCUGGGGGUAAGUAUUUUAUUGGAAAAGAUACCUUUUAGAUAGACUUGCCCGUUCUUUCCGACAAUAGCCUUCCGAAAAUUGAAUAGUAAUUUAAGGCUAUUCCGGCAAGAACGACUUAAAAUACAACCGAAGCUGGGUCGGCUUAUUCUUUUGACCAAAGACCUAAACUACACUUUAUUCAAUUUUAUUAUUUUGAAAAAAAUGAGGCCGAACCUUAUGUGGGUUACCUACAUAUCCCACAUCCGGUGAGAAUCAGACCUGCAUAGUUUGGUCAAUAAUUGGAAAAAACAUGAUAUUUGACUCACUCUUUUUUUUUAAACACUUUUUCCUUCUUUUUUUCAAACAUUUUGGCAGAGUUUCGAGACAUUUUUCAAAUACCGGAAUUUUAAAAAAUCGGGUAAAUUCUCUAUCCUAGCUCACUCUUGGUUUUUCUCUUUAUUUCCUUUCCCUAGCCAGUCAACAUGGAAGCCGAAACAAAUAAAUAUUCACAUAGCACAUUGGAUGCAUCAGGAUGGUCUUUAUUUUCGGGUACACCUGUCCUAGACGGACUCAACCCCUGUGUUGAGUCCCCAAGGUCAAAUGCACGCGAUGCAAAUAAUCGUUCCUACUAGGAAUCCGGCAUGAGAUUGCGUUACUCUAGGUUUAAAACAUGGGGUUUAUGUUCUUGACCUGGCUUACCCGAGCGGACAAACUCGAGUCGAGGAGGGGGCAACGUAUCGAUAGGACUAAAGUCUGCCCUGCCUUGUUACUUGCCCAGCCCCGUUCUAUUUGGUAUAACUCUAACAAAAAAGUGGGCCACGCAAACGUGAGCACUGUUUUUUUAGAAGACUCAGAAGGGAGGCGUAAGAAGACAUCUAAAUACAGUUCAAGUAAUAUCAAAGCGGAGCCAAAUAAAAAUCACAUUAACAAGCUCGAAUUCUUGAACCCUGAACCGGAACUUCUGGGUUCUUCUCUCCAGCAGAGUCGCCAGAGCUGUCACACCUCCUUUUUACCCCCGAGGGUAUAAAGGAGUUUUUUCAAUUAAAGUGACAUAAAUCAAAAUGAGAUUAUUUAAUUUAUCAGAGUCGCCACUUGGAAUAGUUUAAUUGGUGUCCCAAGUCACCGGUUUAUUUUAAAUCCCAAAUCGAGGAAGUUUCGACUUUAUUUUAAAAGUCUGCAAAUCAGAAAUUCUAGAUAAAGAAUUCUGUUAACCCGGGAGAAGGUGCUAGACAUUCCCGGGUUCCGUGGUUCUAGCACGGUCGGUUAGUGAUUAUUACUUGGCUUGAAUUGUUUAACUACUCAUUUUUAGGACCUAUAUGCAUUUAUCUUUUACCCGCUUUUAAUUAAAAAAAUUAUCCUAAAACGAGUCACGCAUACGUGUACCCAUUUCGUUUGGUGCAUCAAGAAUCAUGUCACGCGUACGUGUCCACAAUUAAUCACGCUUUAUUAAUUAUUAAGAAAGUUUGACUGAAGUUGCGCGAACACAUACCUCGAUUUAUAUAUUUUUUUGGUAUCGUAACUAUGUCACGCGUACGUGUAUGUAAUCACGAUGAUUUAUUUAUUAAUACGUGCCUAAAAAAUACUAGCAGUAAAAAAAAAUUAUUAAAAAAAAUUAAAUACAAGGAAGAAAAUAAAUAAACAUACUAUCCAUGCUCACUUUAGCACCCAAACCCACUUUGUUACUUAAACGAAAUUAAUCUAAAUCUUACUUCUGAUUUUUUGACUUAUACCUUGUGUCUUUUCUUGUAGCAAUGAGGCCAAACAUAAGUAUUUCUUUUAAGGAGCCAAAGCCAGCACGUGACUAGCAAUGCAGCUAACAGAAGUGAAAUCAACAACAAUCUAUAACAAAUAGGUAAGAAAUAUAGCAAAGGUUCCAUAGUUGUAAGCAACUCCAAGAAACAGACUCAAAGUAGCACCGGCACAGUGCUUCCGAUGGUGCAGUAAACCAAUCGAAACCAUGGCCUAAAAUCAAUUACUUUCCAGACAACAACUAAUAAUUACCAGGCACCGAAGAUUUAAAAGACUUUCCCCAUAAAAUAGCAACAACAGUGAACAUAUAAGCAACAAAGCAGAACAUAUAUAAAAUAGAUUAAACAAACCAAAAAUCCCAUUUCACUUUGUUAUCAAAUAUUGUCUUUGAUCUAAUAUCAUAUUGUUUUUUGAUUAUACUAACAUGAAUACAGAAACAAGACAUUAUAUGAUCUUUUAAUAGUCUUUACAAAAUUGAUUUAAAAUGUUUAUUUGGUUAUUUCUCUAAUUUCAAGAAUACAUAAUUAAUUUCUUUAUAUGUUGAUGCAUGUGUUGGAUAAAUAUUCGUAACUAAUUAUUAAUUGGCAGCUAGCUUAGAGGAUUAUUACAUGGUUUUCUCUCAUCUUCCUCAUUCCGGACAGAAACAGUUUUCCCUAAUCUCUCUGAAGAUGCCACUGCCAACAACGAACACCAAGCACAAAAACAAAAAGAAUCAGAUAAUAAAUUAAGUUAAAAUUAAUUUUAGACAUAGACUAACAUAGAGGAACAUGAAUAAAAUAACCAUUCAAACUUUAAUUCAUUUGAAAUAGAGAGUAAGAUAAAAGAAAUGAACCUGCUAAACUGAAAUUCUUCUAAUUGACAAUGGAAAAUAAGCAAAUGUACACUUCUUCAGUCCCAGAAAUCCACCGACAAACAACAACAAAAAUCGAAUGGUGGAACCGGAACCAGGAAUUUCACCUCGAAUUCUCAAAACCUUCAACUUCUUUUUUGAUUUCUGUCCAAACACUUCUCAAAUUUUUUAAUUGUUCCCUUAUCUUGAAGAAUUUCAUGAACAAUGAGCUUUGUUAGGGUCGCUGGAUCUUGUUCUCUUUAUAUGUUAGGAAUUUUGGAAAAUACAGUGGGUAAUGGAAUUGGAAAAUAGAGAUUCAUUUACUAGAUUUUAACUUGGGGAAGAUAACUCAUUUUUGGGAAUGUUUCAAUUUUGAAACUUCAUUGGGUAGAGGUCUGUCUUGGUUUUUGAUGGAAAUGGAGGAGAAGCACUUUUACUCCAAAAUGCGC